AUGCUCGCAUGCCAGCGGCCGCCGCGCGCGGCGGUGAAAUACCGCUGCCGCCGUCGAGCAGCAAACCGCGCGCCGACAAAAGCUCAAAAUCCUGCUGCUUCCGCUCCACAGUCCCGCCACGUGUACUCGCUGGCUCUCGUCGAUCUCCAAGUCAACCUCUGGCUAAGCUUUUUGCCACCGGAUCCGGAGGAGCUGAUGGACGGCGAGGUGCCCGGGUACCAGGGUGAUGUCCCUGGAGUUGGCCACGACCACGACAACCUGCGCGCACUCGACGACUACUACCUCACCCACGAGUUGCUCGAGCUGCUGCUGCGCGGGAACGGCGGCGGCGGCGCAGGUAGCUCCGUCGACGUCGUCCACGAAAAGACUUUGAUGGUCGAUCAUCUUCCUCUGCCGCUGCCACCUUCGUCUCCUCUGCCCACGUACUUCGCCGCCGAUAGCCCUUCUGGAAAAGCGAUGGCAAGCGACGCCGAGAUGGCGUCGUGGCUCUGCCAGGUUUUCGAGCAGGAGCCUCGGAGCGCUGCGACCGCCACGACGACGACCAAGCCUGAGGGAGGUAACACCAUGCCCAGCAGCAGCUGUGGCAUCGGCGGUGGGCACCGCAGUAUCGCCUCCGGCGACGCGCCGACCACCAGCCUUGCGGCGGAUGGCGCAGGCGACUGCCGACAUGGGCGGUCGAGCAGCGGCCGAAGAAGGUCUUGUUCCGGAAAGGCAGCCGAGCAGAGGCGACGAGACAAGAUCAACGACAAGGUGAGGACUCUGCAGCAGCUGACGCCCAGGUGCAGCAAGACUGACAAGGCCUCGACGCUGGAGGAGGUCAUCAAGUACGUGAAAUCACUCCAGCACCAAAUCCAGAUGAUGUCGGCCGCCGGAUACGCCAUACCGACGCCAUUCUUGCCGCUGGGGGUGAUGCCGCCGUCGUGCAUGCAGCUGCCUGCUGCAGGCGGGCAGGCGCCGGUGAUGGUCCCUCAGUACCCGGUUUUCCCGGCGGUGUACUCUUGUCCACACCACGGCACGCCGCUGCCGCCAUUGGCGCCGUGUGCUCGUCAUCUUGGUGCCGGCGAGCCGCGGCCGCUUGCUCCUCGCCGUCGCCAUCUCGUCCCAAACGAUUUCACCGUGCCGAGCCACAGCGGGAGAAGCCAGAAAUGA
Molecule: ribosomal RNA, 1149 nt
Filed under: Triticum aestivum (bread wheat)
Lineage: Eukaryota; Viridiplantae; Streptophyta; Magnoliopsida; Poales; Poaceae
Description: partial small subunit ribosomal RNA
Source: RNAcentral